CUUCCGUCCGGCACCGCCUACGAAGGGUUGGAUGGCCGGCGGAGACGCGGGUGGCCGGCGGUGGCCACGGAGGAGUCCACCUGGGGCCUGGCUCACGGACGGAGGUCGACUGAAGGCGGUGGUUGAAGAGCCAUGCACCCUGUCGAGCGCAUGUAGUGUGCCUGCGCCUAUCUAUCCUGCCGCCGCCGCGGUCACCGCCCUGCAAGCAUAUCCGAAGUUGGACUGGCUACAUUUCAAGGGCUCAACAGCCACACAUUGCCAGUGGCUACUGUGUUAGACGGUGCAGUGCUAGAGGGGGAGAUGGAAAAGAAAUCAAGUGGAUUCCACAUAAAGAGGUGGAAAGUGGUACAGGCACUCAACCCUGGGGAUACAACAAUGACCAUGCCAGAUGUGGCAUCUGCUCUCAUGGAAGUCACAGUCAGUUUCCAGAAACAAGUUUAAGAGCGCAGCUCUGACACCGACUAACUUAGGCAAGUAUGAUCUUGGGCAAGUUAUUUAAUCUCUCUGAGCUUCAGCCUCCCCUUUCAUGAAAUGGGAGUGAUUGUAAUACUUUAUGAGGGUACAGUGAGAAUUAAAUGAAAUCAUCUAUUUUUAGAAUCACUGAAACAGAGCCUGGCAUCAAGUGCCUACUAAGUCUUACUAAUAGUAAUAAGAAAUUACACAAAUCAUUAUAAUCUGCAGAGGUUCAGAGUGCCAGCAAAACAUAUAACAGGAGGACCUGACCUCAUUUUGGGGUCACUAGGGAAGGCUUGUCGAGUUGGUGGUGUUGUAGCUGAGGCAGGAUGGGCGAGUCACCAGGCAAAGGGGAACAGACCGUUUAAGGCAGCAAGAACAAAGGCACUGAGGCGGGCAGGAACUUGCACACUUAGGAACUGAGAAAAGGCUAGUGGCAAAGACAUGGGUAGAAAAGGAGACUCUUGGGCUUGGGAGGAGCAGGUCACAUAGGGCUUGGCUAGCCGUGGUAAGAUGAGACCUGUUCCUAACAGCAAGGGAGGUGACUUGUCCAAGUGCACAUGACUAGUUUAAGGACAGAGGCGGGAUUUGAACCCAGGUCUGCUUUGUCUCAAGAGAGCUUUAUUUCUCUGGUUUGAAUUUGAGAUGGGACGUUCUCGUUUUUUAAUUUUGGGGGUUUUUUUUGUUUUUUUGUUUUUUUGGAGAGAAACGCAGUUUUAGUUCUUAGGGGUUGGAAUCAGUACACUCCAGCCGCCGAAGUUCUAUGUCGUUCGAGCUCUGAGGGUCUGUGAGAUCAGAGGACUCAAAGGUGACUUAGUCUUUGUCCCUGCUCUUGAGGACAUCACUGCCCCAAAGGAGAAGAGGACACAGAGACAUAUAAAUACAGCCAGGGUGAUAAGGGGUGGGUAUAAAGCACCACCUGUCCUGAAGGGUAGUGUCUGAGCAGAGUACAGCAGGAGUGGGAAGUGCCGGGUGUAGGUCGUGAGGGAAGAAGACAGUGAGAUGGGUCUGGAGAGGUAUCUGUCUCCAGCUCUAAAGGGCCCGACAGGGUCAGGCAGAGGAGCUGGCGUUUAUCCCAUAGGCCGGAAGCCGGCAAUCUGCAGCCAUGUUUUUGCCCAGCCUGUGAGCUAUAAAUGAUUUUUACAUUUUUUAAAUGGUUGAAAAAAGCCAAAAGAAGAAUAACAUUUUGUAACGUGAGAAAAUGACACGAAGCACAAUUUCAGUGUGCGUCAAGUUUGAUCGUAACACAGCCAUGCCUGUUGAGUGUGUGUUGCCAUGGCUGCUUUUGAGUGGCACUAUCAGAGGGAGAUUUGCUCAGGCAGAGCCUGCUUCAUGGCUGUGGAGACUGUCAUCACCCAGGGCCCUAUGCUUCUACUAUUGCCAUUGCGAAAUAUUUAGUAAUCUAUGCAUAAAUGAGAGGCCGUGCAUUUUUAUCUUGCACUGGGCUCUGAAAAUUACAUAGCCAAUCUUGGCAACAGAGAAUAUAUGGCCCACAAAGCCUACAAUAUUUGCGAUCGAGCCCUUUUCAAAAAGUGUAUGCUGGUCCUGCCAUGGUGGGCAGAAUAACAGCCUCCCAAAGAUGUCCGUGUCCUAAUCUCCUGAAACCUGUGACUAUGUUACCUUUCCUGGCAAAAGGGGCUUUGCAGAUCGGAUUAGGUUAAGUAUCUGGAGGUGGGGAGAUUAUCCUGGAUUAUCUGCAUGAGGCCAGUGUAAUCACAAGGGUUCUUGUAAGAGGAAGGCAGGAGGGUCAGAGUCAGAGAAGGAAAUAUGACAGUGGCAGCAGAGGUCAGUGAUGCCGUUACCAGCUUCGAUCGUGGAAGAAAGCCAUGAGCCACAGAUUGCGGGCGGCACCCAGAAGCUGGAAAAGGCAUGGAAACAUUCUCUCCUAGAGCUUCCGGAAGGACUGUAACCCUACCGACACCUUGUUUUUAGCCUGAUAAAACCAAUUUCAGAGUUCUGACCUUCACCGUGAUGCAGUGGAAAGCCAUGACAUCUGAACCAUUUACAGGGCUCCAUAUGUGGGCGGGGGUUAUUUUGGGAACAUAAGAAAUGGGUUUAAAUGUCAGGUUAGUUGUUCACUGGUCAGCUCCCUAACAGAGCUGAGGCGUCAAAGUGGAAUGCCUAUUUUGAGAACAGAAGCCGGGCAGGCCCGAGCAAGCCCAGAGAACCUUCUGGCACUCAAGCUCUUUGGGGGCCCAACUUCGGUCUGAUUCUGCUUCAGGUGCCAAGUAGGUCAGUCAUGUAGGAAACCAGGAAGCUCUAUUUAUUUUUUCUUAGGCUGCUGAGUUUAUUUCAGGUUAGCAACAGUUUGGAGUUCACGUCCUGAAUAGUUCAGAAUUGGAAGGGCGACAGCACUGGCUCUUUUGGGGCACGGGUCACCCAUGGUUCCUGUGUCUGACCUGGAGAGCCUGGCCCUGGAGGGGCACGGAAAUGCAGGGCUCUCCUUCCGGAGCUGCUGUGCUAGUAACCUAACUUCCCUGAGCCUUGGUUUGCUUGUUUGCAAAAGGCAGGUGGCACUGCCACCUCGGGAACUGAGGAAAGCAGGCACUGAGCAGAGCAUCUAACGUGCUGGGACAUCUAACGUAUCGGUGAGUCCCUAAAGAAGGGUCUGUGGUUAAUGCCCCAGAGAGCAUGAGGCUCUGCUUAUUGUCUUAGAAAUCGGCUCCUUGAGUGCCACCCCAUGAGAUAAUGUGGGGUGCUGACCUGAGUGAGCUUGUCAGGUUUUCCAGAAUUGUCUUUCUGGGUCUGACCCAUUACCCUUCGACUCCAGUAUCUUUCUGGCAAGAACAGCAGUGGGAAUUUUAUCUCCCAGAGUGUCAAAGGUUAGAAAGGUCCCCACUGCUCCAAUUCUCAAGGUCACAGAGUGGCCUGAUUUCCCCUGUCUUCCCAGAGCAGUAUUUCAUAUCUAGGUGUUGUCACAUGGUCACGCUCCUUAUUGCUACCAGUGACUCAUAGUGGUCACUAUCAUAUUUUUUUUUCAUUUUUAAGAUUUGUUGUUUUUUAAUCCGGCUAUUUUUUUUUCAUGCCAUAUCAGUUCUCUUUCUUGAUUUGUCUCUAAGUGUUUUACAUGUAUUUGCUGGGCUUUUUGCAAUGCUUCUUUAAAAAAGUGUUAAGUGAAAUUCAGUGGUUUCUAGUAUACUCACAAAGUUAUGUAAAUAUCACCACUAUCUCAUUCCAGAACAUUUUUACCACCCAAAAAAGAAACCCCAUGGCCUUUAGAAGUCACCCACUAGCUCUUGGCAACCACUAAUCUAUUUUUUGACUCCAUGGAUUUGUGCUUCUGAUCACUUUAUAUAAAUAGAAUCAUACAAUA
Pteropus alecto (black flying fox) is the source of this 3766-nucleotide long non-coding RNA. RefSeq lists it as uncharacterized. The record is from RefSeq and is a predicted model, not a curated record. NCBI's taxonomy places the organism in Eukaryota, Metazoa, Chordata, Mammalia, Chiroptera, Pteropodidae. The transcript has 3 exons.